ACGCUGGCGGCAGGCCUAACACAUGCAAGUCGAGCGGUAGAGAGAAGCUUGCUUCUCUUGAGAGCGGCGGACGGGUGAGUAAUGCCUAGGAAUCUGCCUGUAGUGGGGGAUAACGUUCGGAAACGGACGCUAAUACCGCAUACGUCCUACGGGAGAAAGCAGGGGACCUUCGGGCCUUGCGCUAUCAGAUGAGCCUAGGUCGGAUUAGCUAGUUGGUGGGGUAAUGGGCUCACCAAGGCGACGACCCCGUAACUGGUCUGAAGAAGGAUGAUCAGUCACACUGGAACUGAGACACGGUCCAGACUCCUACGGGAGGCAGCAGUGGGGAAUAUUGGACAAUGGGCGAAAGCCUGAUCCAGCCAUGCCGCGUGUGUGAAGAAGGUCUUCGGAUUGUAAAGCACUUUAAGUUGGGAGGAAGGGCAGUUGCCUAAUACGUAGCUGUUUUGACGUUACCGACAGAAUAAGCACCGGCUAACUCUGUGCCAGCAGCCGCGGUAAUACAGAGGGUGCAAGCGUUAAUCGGAAUUACUGGGCGUAAAGCGCGCGUAGGUGGUUUGUUAAGUUGGAUGUGAAAUCCCCGGGCUCAACCUGGGAACUGCAUUCAAAACUGACUGACUAGAGUAUGGUAGAGGGUGGUGGAAUUUCCUGUGUAGCGGUGAAAUGCGUAGAUAUAGGAAGGAACACCAGUGGCGAAGGCGACCACCUGGACUGAUACUGACACUGAGGUGCGAAAGCGUGGGGAGCAAAC
RNAcentral lists this ribosomal RNA (748 nucleotides) under uncultured bacterium. Its description in RNAcentral is "bacterial SSU rRNA". It matches the Rfam family "Bacterial small subunit ribosomal RNA", at positions 33 to 773 of the family's 1533-position model. The record is from RNAcentral.